ACUAAUUUGGGCAUAAAAAGUGCAACAUAAUAUAGAAUCUUGUUAAUGUAAAUAUUAAUUUACAGUUAGUG
RNAcentral lists this transfer RNA (71 nucleotides) under Petrobius brevistylis. RNAcentral describes it as "tRNA-Leu". The record is from RNAcentral. Lineage: Eukaryota; Metazoa; Arthropoda; Insecta; Archaeognatha; Machilidae.